GUGAGGAAUUUUGCGCAAUGGGGGCAACCCUGACGCAGCGACGCCGCGUGGAGGACGAAGUCUUUCGGGAUGUAAACUCCUGUCAGUGGGGACGAUAAUGACGGUACCCACAGAGGAAGCACCGGCUAACUUCGUGCCAGCAGCCGCGGUAAUACGGAGGGUGCAAGCGUUAUCCGGAAUCACUGGGUUUAAAGGGUACGUAGGCGGUUAAUUAAGUCAGUAGUGAAAGACUGUCGCUCAACGACGGAUGUGCUAUUGAUACUGGUUAACUUGAAUCAGGUUAGAGUUGGCGGAAUGGGUCAUGUAGCGGUGAAAUGCUUAGAUAUGACUUGGAACACCGAUAGCGAAGGCAGCUGACUGAGCCUUGAUUGACGCUGAGGUACGAAAGUGUGGGUAGCGAACAGGAUUAGAAACCCUUGUAGUCC
Molecule: ribosomal RNA, 425 nt
Filed under: uncultured bacterium
Lineage: Bacteria
Description: partial 16S ribosomal RNA
Rfam family: Bacterial small subunit ribosomal RNA
Source: RNAcentral